GUUUGAGAUAAAGAAGAACGAUAAUCUACCCAGAAUUUUUCAUCAAUUAUAGCUUCCCGGGCCACAAAUUUCCCAAAUUUGAACCUGUCCUCGUACACACAAUCCUUGUCAGGCGUUUGAAUACAAAUCAAGUGCUCUUCUUUUUUCCUUGUUUGAGAAGACCUAGAAUCCAUGGCUCCGUAGAUCCAAAAAUAAAAAACAAAACGAAAAGGAAAAUUAAACUUACAUGAAUCCAAAGCUUUCCAAAAUUGUAUAAAGAAAUAAACAAGGAAAGAGUUAAAGAUUUACAUUGUCAAAGAAGAGGCGAUUCUGUGAAAUGUUGAGUGAUUUCUGAAUCCAUCAUUUGAUAAGGUAGAGAAGUCAGUUUAAAUGCUUUAUCGCAG
Molecule: long non-coding RNA, 383 nt
Filed under: Manihot esculenta (cassava)
Lineage: Eukaryota; Viridiplantae; Streptophyta; Magnoliopsida; Malpighiales; Euphorbiaceae
Description: long non-coding RNA (MESC_LNC004999)
Source: RNAcentral